AUUGAACGCUGGAGGCAGGCCUAACACAUGCAAGUCGAACGCGUGGCGGACGGGUGAGUAAUGUCUGGGAAACUGCCUGAUGGAGGGGGCUAACUACUGGAAACGGUCGCUAAUCCCGCAUACCAUCAGAUGUGCCCAGAUGGGAUUGGCUAGUUGGUGGGGUAACGGCUCACCUAGGCGACGAUCCCUAGCUGGUCUGAGAGGAUGACCAGCCACACUGGAACUGAGACACGGUCCAGACGCCUACGGGAGGCAGCAGUGGGGAAUAUUGCACAAUGGGCGCAAGCCUGAUGCAGCCAUGCCGCGUGUAUGAAGAAGGCCUUCGGGUUGUAAAGUACUUUCAGUCGGGAGGCGUUACCCGCAGAAGAAGCACCGGCUAACUCCGUGCCAGCAGCCGCGGUAAUUC
Molecule: ribosomal RNA, 406 nt
Filed under: uncultured bacterium
Lineage: Bacteria
Description: partial 16S ribosomal RNA
Rfam family: Bacterial small subunit ribosomal RNA
Source: RNAcentral